GACGAACGCUGGCGGCGUGCUUAACACAUGCAAGUCGAACGAAGAGCGAUGGAAGCUUGCUUCUAUCAAUCUUAGUGGCGAACGGGUGAGUAACGCGUAAUCAACCUGCCCUUCAGAGGAGGACAACAGUUGGAAACGACUGCUAAUACCGCAUACGAUCUGACCUCGGCAUCGAGGAUAGAUGAAAGGUGGCCUCUACAUGUAAGCUAUCACUGAAGGAGGGGAUUGCGUCUGAUUAGCUAGUUGGAGGGGUAACGGCCCACCAAGGCGAUGAUCAGUAGCCGGUCUGAGAGGAUGAACGGCCACAUUGGGACUGAGACACGGCCCAGACUCCUACGGGAGGCAGCAGUGGGGAAUCUUCCGCAAUGGACGAAAGUCUGACGGAGCAACGCCGCGUGAGUGAUGACGGCCUUCGGGUUGUAAAGCUCUGUUAAUCGGGACGAAAGGCCUUUUUGCGAAUAGUGAGAAGGAUUGACGGUACCGGAAUAGAAAGCCACGGCUAACUACGUG
This 510-nucleotide ribosomal RNA is filed under the name uncultured bacterium. RNAcentral describes it as "partial 16S ribosomal RNA". It matches the Rfam family "Bacterial small subunit ribosomal RNA", at positions 28 to 507 of the family's 1533-position model. The record is from RNAcentral.